Molecule: ribosomal RNA, 506 nt
Filed under: uncultured Pseudomonas sp.
Lineage: Bacteria; Pseudomonadati; Pseudomonadota; Gammaproteobacteria; Pseudomonadales; Pseudomonadaceae
Description: bacterial SSU rRNA
Rfam family: Bacterial small subunit ribosomal RNA
Source: RNAcentral
GGGUUUUUAGAGUUUUGGAUUGGCUCAGAUUGAACGCUGGCGGCAGGCCUAACACAUGCAAGUCGAGCGGUAGAGAGGUGCUUGCACCUCUUGAGAGCGGCGGACGGGUGAGUAAUGCCUAGGAAUCUGCCUGGUAGUGGGGGAUAACGCUCGGAAACGGACGCUAAUACCGCAUACGUCCUACGGGAGAAAGCAGGGGACCUUCGGGCCUUGCGCUAUCAGAUGAGCCUAGGUCGGAUUAGCUAGUUGGUGAGGUAAUGGCUCACCAAGGCGACGAUCCGUAACUGGUCUGAGAGGAUGAUCAGUCACACUGGAACUGAGACACGGUCCAGACUCCUACGGGAGGCAGCAGUGGGGAAUAUUGGACAAUGGGCGAAAGCCUGAUCCAGCCAUGCCGCGUGUGUGAAGAAGGUCUUCGGAUUGUAAAGCACUUUAAGUUGGGAGGAAGGGCCAUUACCUAAUACGUGAUGGUUUUGACGUUACCGACAGAAUAAGCACCGGCUACU